AGAAUCAACGCUGGCGGCGUGCCUAACACAUGCAAGUCGAUCGAGAAAGUGAAGCAAUCCAUGAGUAAAGAGGCGCACGGGUGAGUAACACGUGACUAACCUACCUUCGAGUGGGGAAUAACCUGGGGAAACCCGGGCUAAUACCGCAUAACACCUACGGGUCAAAGGAGCAAUUCGCUUGAAGAGGGGUCGCGGCAGAUUAGUUAGUUGGCGGGGUAAUGGCCCACCAAGACGAUGAUCUGUA
RNAcentral lists this ribosomal RNA (244 nucleotides) under uncultured bacterium. Its description in RNAcentral is "partial small subunit ribosomal RNA". It matches the Rfam family "Bacterial small subunit ribosomal RNA", at positions 26 to 285 of the family's 1533-position model. The record is from RNAcentral.